This 253-nucleotide ribosomal RNA is filed under the name uncultured bacterium. RNAcentral's name for it is "partial 16S ribosomal RNA". It matches the Rfam family "Bacterial small subunit ribosomal RNA", at positions 524 to 776 of the family's 1533-position model. The record is from RNAcentral.
UACGGGGGGGGCAAGCGUUGUUCGGAAUUACUGGGCGUAAAGGGCUCGUAGGCGGCCAACUAAGUCGGACGUGAAAUCCCUCGGCUUAACCGGGGAACUGCGUCUGAUACUGGAUGGCUCGAGUUUGGGAGAGGGAUGCGGAAUUCCAGGUGUAGCGGUGAAAUGCGUAGAUAUCUGGAGGAACACCGGUGGCGAAGGCGGCAUCCUGGACCAACACUGACACUGAGGAGCGAAAGCCAGGGGAGCAAACGGG